RNAcentral lists this ribosomal RNA (223 nucleotides) under uncultured bacterium. Its description in RNAcentral is "partial 16S ribosomal RNA". It matches the Rfam family "Bacterial small subunit ribosomal RNA", at positions 1277 to 1500 of the family's 1533-position model. The record is from RNAcentral.
AAAAGUAACUCUCAGUUCAGAUUGUGGGCUGCAACCCGCCCACAUGAAGUUGGAGUUGCUAGUAAUCGCGGAUCAGCAUGCCGCGGUGAAUACGUUCCCGGGCCUUGUACACACCGCCCGUCACACCAUGAGAGUCGGGAACACCCGAAGUCCGUAGUCUAACCGCAAGGGGACGCGGCCGAAGGUGGGUUCGAUAAUUGGGGUGAAGUCGUAACAAGGUACC